This is a long non-coding RNA of Sapajus apella (tufted capuchin), 859 nucleotides long. RefSeq lists it as uncharacterized. The transcript is spliced from 2 exons. Lineage: Eukaryota; Metazoa; Chordata; Mammalia; Primates; Cebidae. The record is from RefSeq and is a predicted model, not a curated record.
CCAGAGAGAGAGAAAAAGAGAGAAAAGUUUCCCGGAGUCUUCAUUAGUUGAUUUCUCUGUCCACCGCUUUCCCCGGCCGGUUCAUCCCCAGUAAAGAAAGGGGGGGGGUGUUAUUUUUUUAAGGCCCCAAAGAACCCGAUGUUUACAAGACCAGAAAUGCCACCUCCGCGUCCUGGCAGAGAAAAGGCUGAAAUGGAGGACCGGCGCCUUCCUUAUAAGUUCGUUGGGGCCUGAGCCAGCGCCGACAUGGUAGAGAAAGCAACCGCGAAACUAAAGAGAGCCAGACGAGGGAAGAGAGCGCCAGACGGAGGUGAAAGUGAACCACGCAGAGGAAUGCAGGCAAGGGAGCAAGGCGGCAGUUCCCCGAACAAACGUGGCAGAGGGCAACACGGGCACUCACAGACAGAGGUUUAUGUAUUUUUAUUUUUUAAAAAAUCUGAUUUGGUGUUCUAUGAGAAAAAGGGAAAAUCUCGGGAACGGGAAUACAGAGGGAAUUAUCCGGGUCCUAGCUCACCACAUGAACGCCCAGAAGGAGAGAGCGCUGGAAAAACCUGAGCGGGUGUCGGGACAGCACCCGGCUCCAGUCAGCCGCUGUCCCUUACGCUGCCGGGCAGGACCCACGAAGCCCCCCCUCGCGGCCACCCGGGCUUCCUUGGUCUUAUCAUCUCCAUCUUUAUGAAGAGGCUUGUUAACAAGACCAGCGAGCUGGCCACGCACAUCUAUCUCAGCCGCGCCCGCUCAGUUGAGCAGCGGGCCGGCGGGGGGACUGGGAGGCGCUAAUGAAUUGAUUCCUUCGGACUGUAAAAUAUGGCGGCGUCUACACCGAACCCAAGGACUCAUAAACAAUAUCUCUGUUGGG